UGGAUAUCUGCCUUUUGGUUCGGAAUAACCCCGGGAAACUGGGGCUAAUACCGGAUGGUUCCUUCGGGAUAAAGAUUUAUCGCCAAAAGAUGAGUCCGCGUACGAUUAGCUAGUUGGUGAGGUAACGGCUCACCAAGGCUACGAUCGGUAGCCGGCCUGAGAGGGUGACCGGCCACACUGGGACUGAGACACGGCCCAGACUCCGUACGGGAGCAG
RNAcentral lists this ribosomal RNA (216 nucleotides) under uncultured bacterium. Its description in RNAcentral is "partial 16S ribosomal RNA". It matches the Rfam family "Bacterial small subunit ribosomal RNA", at positions 118 to 347 of the family's 1533-position model. The record is from RNAcentral.